Molecule: long non-coding RNA, 1178 nt
Organism: Bos taurus (domestic cattle)
Lineage: Eukaryota; Metazoa; Chordata; Mammalia; Artiodactyla; Bovidae
Source: Ensembl
CUGGAAUCCCACACAUUGUAAUAAACACAGCUGCAUUUAUUUGAGUAUGUGAUCCCAUGUACAUGUAAAAACAUUCAAACAAACACACUCAGCAGAUUUAUUUGAUUGUGCAAUGGGGCAAUUAUUCAAAUAAACAUGCUCAGUGCAAUUAUUUGAAUCUCACAUUGCAUGUUCAUCAAUCACAGCACUGAAAAUGAAGGGGGAAAAAAACACCAAAGAAUUUACAUGGGGAAAAAAUAUAUGUGAAAACAACCUUAUUAUAGAUUUUAUAGGGUUAGCCAAAGUGAUGGCACCCUCCUUAACUGUAACUCCACUAUUCUAUAUUCAGCGACAUUUGUUUCUAAUGAUUAAUUGGUUCAUUCACUUGGCCAUUAAAUCAGAAUGACCAUAACAUUCAGAUUUAUAUAAUAGCAAGCUUGACAAACCUGAAUGGGGUAGAGAUAUGGAAUCUCUAUAUUUCCAGCAUAGAAUAGUUGUUUCUAGACACUUUAUGUCAAGAGGACAUUGGUCAAAUUAUUAUGGCUUUAAAUAGCACUCCUAUAAAUUAAAAAAAUUUUAUACAUGCAACAAAACAUUCCUACAUUUGAAGACAUUAAAAAAAAAUCACAGGUGACUCAUCUGGUCAUUUUAUAUAUUGAUAAAUAUCCUGACAUAUAUGUGAACACAUCAAGAAUCAUAUAGGUGUACCAAGAGGCAAUUUAUGUCUCUUUUAAGUCUGUACUGACAUAACCUAAUAUACUAAAAUGGGAAGGGGCGUUUAGUCACAGAAAUAUACAUCGUGUAACAAAGAUGAAAAAAAUACAUGGCUUGUGCCCAUCAUAAAAAAGAUUCAGACUGAAGGCUUAGCUUUGGUUUUUAUUCAAUUAAAUUGUUAAACUGUGCACAGUGAUUUUUUUUUAGAACUUGAGACAUUUGUGAUGUUGGCUGUUUAAAUCUUUGUUACCUUCGCUGUGAAUUGAAAUUGUACAUAUUUAGUAAAUCAUGCAGACAAAACAAACUUUUUAGACAAUAUUUUUAUUGGAGAGUUUUCUUUUCCUGUAUCCAUGUUAAAAAAAAAAAAAGACCUCCUUUCCCAAAAUAAAAAUGUCAAUACUAAAUUUAAAGAAGUAUAAAGGAAUGAUUGCUUCCUUUAGAGCUAAAUAUUUAAAUAAACAUGGAGAUAAUUGGCAACAUGUUCU